GAUGAAGAACGUAGCGAAAUGCGAUAAGUAGUGUGAAUUGCAGAAUUCAGUGAAUCAUCGAAUCUUUGAACGCACAUUGCGCCCUUUGGUAUUCCAAAGGGCAUGCCUGUUCGAGCGUCAUUACGCCCCUCAAGUCCCCUGUGGACUUGGUGUUGGGGAUCGGCGAGGCUGGUUUUCCAGCACAGCCGUCCCUUAAAUUAAUUGGCGGUCUCGCCGUGGCCCUCCUCUGCGCAGUAGUAAAACACUCGCAACAGGAGCCCGGCGCGGUCCACUGCCGUAAAACCCCCCAACUUUUUAUAGUUGACCUCGAAUCAGGUAGGACUACCCGCUGAACUUAAGCAUAUCAAUAAGCGGAGGA
This 358-nucleotide unclassified non-coding RNA is filed under the name soil metagenome. Its description in RNAcentral is "partial contains 5.8S ribosomal RNA, internal transcribed spacer 2, and large subunit ribosomal RNA". The stretch from base 1 to 120 matches the Rfam family "5.8S ribosomal RNA", at positions 35 to 154 of the family's 154-position model. The record is from RNAcentral.